AAUGAACGCUGGCGGCAGGCCUAACACAUGCAAGUCGAACGGGCACUUUCGGGUGCUAGUGGCGGACGGGUGAGUAACGCGUGGGAACAUACCCUAUGGUUCGGAAUAGCCCCGGGAAACUGGGAGUAAUACCGGAUACGCCCUUCGGGGGAAAGAUUUAUCGCCAAAGGAUUGGCCCGCGUUGGAUUAGGUAGUUGGUGGGGUAAUGGCCUACCAAGCCGACGAUCCAUAGCUGGUUUGAGAGGAUGAUCAGCCACACUGGGACUGAGACACGGCCCAGACUCCUACGGGAGGCAGCAGUGGGGAAUCUUAGACAAUGGGGGAAACCCUGAUCUAGCCAUGCCGCGUGAUCGAUGAAGGCCUUAGGGUUGUAAAGAUCUUUCAGAUGGGAAGAUAAUGACGGUACCAUCAGAAGAAGCCCCGGCUAACUCCGUG
This 435-nucleotide ribosomal RNA is filed under the name uncultured organism. RNAcentral describes it as "bacterial SSU rRNA". It matches the Rfam family "Bacterial small subunit ribosomal RNA", at positions 29 to 507 of the family's 1533-position model. The record is from RNAcentral.